AGUGAACGCUGGCGGCAGGCCUAACACAUGCAAGUCGAACGGCAGCACAGUAAGAGCUUGCUCUUACGGGUGGCGAGUGGCGGACGGGUGACGAAUACAUCGGAAUCUACUCUUUCGGGGGGGAUAACGUAGGGAAACUUACGCUAAUACCGCAUACGACCUACGGGGGAAAGCAGGGGAUCGUCGGGCCUUGUGCGAGUGAAUGAGCCGAUGUCGGAUUAGCUCGUUGGCGGGGUAAAGGCCCACCAAGGCGACGAUCCGUAGCUGGUCUGAGAGGAUGAUCCGCCACCCUGGAACUGAGACACGGUCCAGACUCCUACGGGAGGCAGCAGUGGGGAAUAUUGGACAAUGGGCGCAAGCCUGAUCCAGCCAUACCGCGUGGGUGAAGAAGGCCUUCGGGUUGUAAAGCCCUUUUGUUGGGAAAGAAAAGCAGCAGGUUAAUCCCCCGCUGUUCUGACGGUACCCAAAGAAUAAGCACCGGCUAACUUCGUG
Molecule: ribosomal RNA, 492 nt
Filed under: uncultured bacterium
Lineage: Bacteria
Description: partial 16S ribosomal RNA
Rfam family: Bacterial small subunit ribosomal RNA
Source: RNAcentral